GGUUCUGCUGGGGAAGCAGUGCAGCUGGGAUUUCUUCCUUACAUCCCACAGUGUGAUGGCCUGGGGAACUGGGAGCCAAGACAGUGCUAUGAGAGCACAGGUCACUGCUGGUGUGUGGAUGAGAGAGGACGCUAUGUCGUGGAUUCCUUGGUCUCACGCUCAGCAGAACUUCCUAAAUGCCAGACAUCAUGUCAGCGAUCUCAAACCAAUGCCUUAAUUUCCAGCUGGAGACAGAUUGGUUCAAGGCUGGGUGCCU
Molecule: long non-coding RNA, 256 nt
Filed under: Melopsittacus undulatus (budgerigar)
Lineage: Eukaryota; Metazoa; Chordata; Aves; Psittaciformes; Psittaculidae
Description: lncRNA (ENSMUNG00000019906.1)
Source: RNAcentral